Cavia porcellus (domestic guinea pig) is the source of this 1285-nucleotide long non-coding RNA. RefSeq lists it as uncharacterized. The record is from RefSeq and is a predicted model, not a curated record. The transcript has 2 exons. Lineage: Eukaryota; Metazoa; Chordata; Mammalia; Rodentia; Caviidae.
UAAGCUCAGGGAGGUCCUGGGGACCACCUGCGCUGUGGUUACGGGAAGGGCGGGCACUAUGGGCUGUGGGGAGCAGAGGCCGAGUGGGUGAGGUCCCCUGGGCCAGUGAGGGCCACCGACCCAGCCACAGCCCUGCAGCCCUGGCUCUGGAAUAAGUUUUCAACUUUUUUUUCUUUCUUUCUUUCUUUCUUUCUUUCUUUCUUUCUUUCUUUCUUUCUCUCUCUCUUUCUUUCUCUUUCUUUCUCUUUCUUUCUUUCUUUCUUUCUUUCUUUCUUUCUUUCUCUCUUUCUCUUUCUCAAGGUACAAAGGUUGAGUCCAGGGUCUUUACAAUGAGCUAUACCCCUAGGCCUUUUUAAUUUUUUAUUUCAAGACAGGGUCUCACGCAGGGAAAGAAGUCUCAAAGUGAUCGGGCCAGUUACUGUGCCACCAAGAUCCUGAGAAACGCUGCAAGAAAAACACCCUGUGGUGAAGCUCGUAGGACGUGGGAUUGUGUCCAGAAAAUGCCAAACCGAUGGAUUACUUGGUGCCUUCUCGAGAUCCUACGUGGACCACCCUUGACCAAUGGUGGAUUUGGACCUCCCAUCACAAAUGGCCUCUAACCCCUUCUCCAUGCUCUGGGGAGCGCUCUUCCCCUACCUAGCGCCCCUCCUGGGGCCCCUAGCUGCCCUGUUGCUUCUCCUCUCUGUGGGUCCUUGUAUUUUUCAGAGGAUUAUGGUGAUCAUUCAUAACCAGAUACACGCGUUUAUGACAAAGCCCAUUCAGCUACACUAUCACUAGCUAGAAAUGGCAAAUUAAGAAACCUACAGGGAACAAGUGGCCCAUAUGACAAUGUGGCCUAACUGCCCCAAGGCAAUGGACAGGCAGCCGGAGACGGGCAACUAGGACAUACAUAUUACACCACCAGCCACCUAACACAGGCACAGGACCAACUGCUGUCCUGUAAGCCCAUGACGGGUAAGGCCCGGUUGGGUUCAUGUAAUUAGGUCCUUGACCUAAGAGAGGUGCUGUCCUCACACAGCCUGCCAUACUCCUGACUAAAAAAUAUAGAAAGGGAGGAGAUGUAGGGAGCGGCGCGACAGCCCCGCUCCUGUUUCUCCACCUCUCCCUCCUAUGGGCACAUAGUGCGCCUGCCUACAUUAACCAUAAUCCUCUCCUACUUACGUCACGUACAGGGACGUGACGAUGACCCUUCAGAGAUCACCCCAUAGCCUCUUCUUGUCCCAUCGGCCCACCCUUGCCCUAUAAAAGCAGCGACCACUUUAUUAAUAAAUGAGACUUGAUUGGA